This 343-nucleotide unclassified non-coding RNA is filed under the name soil metagenome. Its description in RNAcentral is "partial contains 5.8S ribosomal RNA, internal transcribed spacer 2, and large subunit ribosomal RNA". The stretch from base 1 to 120 matches the Rfam family "5.8S ribosomal RNA", at positions 35 to 154 of the family's 154-position model. The record is from RNAcentral.
GAUGAAGAACGUAGCGAAAUGCGAUAAGUAAUGUGAAUUGCAGAAUUCAGUGAAUCAUCGAAUCUUUGAACGCACAUUGCGCCCGCUAGUAUUCUGGCGGGCAUGCCUGUCCGAGCGUCAUUUCAACCCUCAGGCCCCCGGGCUUGGUGUUGGGGAUCGGCGAGCCUCCGCGCCCGCCGUCCCCUAAAUCUAGUGGCGGUCUCGCUGUAGCUUCCUCUGCGUAGUAGCACACCUCGCACUGGGAAACAGCGCGGCCACGCCGUUAAACCCCCAACUUCUGAACGUUUGACCUCGGAUCAGGUAGGAAUACCCGCUGAACUUAAGCAUAUCAAUAAGCGGAGGA